RNAcentral lists this ribosomal RNA (464 nucleotides) under uncultured bacterium. Its description in RNAcentral is "partial 16S ribosomal RNA". It matches the Rfam family "Bacterial small subunit ribosomal RNA", at positions 339 to 795 of the family's 1533-position model. The record is from RNAcentral.
CUACGGGACGCACCAGUGGGGAAUAUUGCACAAUGGGCGUAAGCCUGAUGCAGCCAUGCCGCGUGUAUGAAGAAGGCCUUCGGGUUGUAAAGUACUUUCAGCGGGGAGGAAGGGAGUAAAGUUAAUACCUUUGCUCAUUGACGUUACCCGCAGAAGAAGCACCGGCUAACUCCGUGCCAGCAGCCGCGGUAAUACGGAGGGUGCAAGCGUUAAUCGGAAUUACUGGGCGUAAAGCGCACGCAGGCGGUUUGUUAAGUCAGAUGUGAAAUCCCCGGGCUCAACCUGGGAACUGCAUCUGAUACUGGCAAGCUUGAGUCUCGUAGAGGGGGGUAGAAUUCCAGGUGUAGCGGUGAAAUGCGUAGAGAUCUGGAGGAAUACCGGUGGCGAAGGCGGCCCCCUGGACGAAGACUGACGCUCAGGUGCGAAAGCGUGGGGAGCAAACAGGAUUAGAUACCCGUGUAGUC